RNAcentral lists this long non-coding RNA (899 nucleotides) under Numida meleagris (helmeted guineafowl). Its description in RNAcentral is "lncRNA (ENSNMEG00000000913.1)". The record is from RNAcentral. Lineage: Eukaryota; Metazoa; Chordata; Aves; Galliformes; Numididae.
AUGUUAUCAGUUACCAUAGUAACAAGACAUGUUGACACAGAAGCCAAAAGAGAGAAUAAUGCUUGUGAGCGGGUCGCACAAGCUGCGUGGAAUACUGGAAUAGCACAAUCUCUGCACAUUCAUAUAUUCUGGAUUUUCUUCUGGAUUAAUUCUGAGCAGACUACGUAGAGACCUUCAGAAGAAAGUCAUGUCACUAUUGAUUUUAAAAGAACAGUUGUAUAGAGAAACCAUGCAAAGACCUACAAUGUCGAAGGACAGCUGAAGCAUCAAUGAAGCACUUGCAGCAUGGAUAGAGGGACCCAGAGAAGCAGGACAAGAUGAAAUGCAGCAUGGAUGGGAGCCUGUACCCAUUGGGAUGAAAGGGAACUGAUGACCGUAGGAUAGCGUUUCCUGAAGUACCGGUAACCUAUCACCUCAGUAUGUGAACUCAGUGUUUAUCUGCCUCUAAAGGUAAGACUGUUUCUUGAUAUAGCCACUGAAAGCAAGCAUUAUGGUCCGGUAUAUCCUGCCUAAUGUUAAAAAAAAGCUACCUACUGCACUUUUCAGACCAUGUGAUCUUUAGCAGCCUAUGUGGUAGCAAGACAUAUACAGCCAUUCAAGGCCAUUGAGUGCUCUGGGGAAUGGAUGAAAACAAUGAAAAAUCAUGAAGCUAUGAUUUCUUUUCCCCUCCCCAUGCAAUGCGUAGCAACAAGAGAAUAAUAUUUAGCCUCUGGCUGUGCUGAGGAGUUUUGCAUGGUUACCGGCCUUCACUGAGAUGCCAUGCCACAUGCUUGUUAGCCAUAUGCAAUCAAUAUCCUAGCAAGUGAGGAAUCCUUACGUGGGUUCUGAAUUUUAUGGGUAGGAGGAAUUAUGUUGCAUUCCAGAUAUAUUAAAAAUAAUAAAUAAAAAAUACGAGCCCA